Molecule: ribosomal RNA, 447 nt
Filed under: uncultured bacterium
Lineage: Bacteria
Description: bacterial SSU rRNA
Rfam family: Bacterial small subunit ribosomal RNA
Source: RNAcentral
ACUCCUACGGGAGGCAGCAGUGGGGAAUCUUAGACAAUGGGCGCAAGCCUGAUCUAGCCAUGCCGCGUGAGUGAUGAAGGCCUUAGGGUCGUAAAGCUCUUUCGCCAGGGAUGAUAAUGACAGUACCUGGUAAACGAAACCCCGGCUAACUCCGUGCCAGCAGCCGCGGUAAUACGGAGGGGUUAGCGUUGUUCGGAAUUACUGGGCGUAAAGCGCGCGUAGGCGGACUAGUCAGUCAGAGGUGAAAUCCCAGGGCUCAACCCUGGAACUGCCUUUGAUACUGCUAGUCUUGAGUUCGAGAGAGGUGAGUGGAAUUCCGAGUGUAGAGGUGAAAUUCGUAGAUAUUCGGAGGAACACCAGUGGCGAAGGCGGCUCACUGGCUCGAUACUGACGCUGAGGUGCGAAAGCGUGGGAGCAAACAGGAUUAGAUACCCUGGUAGCGACUGA